RNAcentral lists this long non-coding RNA (372 nucleotides) under Ananas comosus (pineapple). RNAcentral's name for it is "long non-coding RNA (ACOM_LNC024979)". Lineage: Eukaryota; Viridiplantae; Streptophyta; Magnoliopsida; Poales; Bromeliaceae. The record is from RNAcentral.
UUUAAGUAGAAUUUUUUAAAAAAUUUUAAAUUUAUUAUAAUAAAUUAUUUUUAUUAAUUGUUCCCACCUUAUUCCUGAAAUAGUUAUUUUUUAUUUAUCCCCGAACCAAACGAUACCUUAAAGCUUAGUUUGUUUUUUUUUUUAAUUAAGGCUUAGUUUGUUAUUGAGAUUUAUCUGAUAUUAUUAAAUAAAAUAAAAUUAGAAGAAAAAUAUAUAGGGAUAUGUUUCUGCGUUAUCGGUGGAACCAUAAAAAAUAUAUUAUAACAAACUCAUCGUGAUAUGCAGAAUCGAAAAUAAAUAAUAUAUUUUUCUAUCGUAUUUUUUCGUCGCAUGUAAUGUAAUCUCUUCAUAAUUCCAAACAAGCCUAAGUUG